RNAcentral lists this unclassified non-coding RNA (275 nucleotides) under Bos grunniens (domestic yak). RNAcentral's name for it is "partial H19 imprinting control region". The record is from RNAcentral. Lineage: Eukaryota; Metazoa; Chordata; Mammalia; Artiodactyla; Bovidae.
UUGCUCCCGGGCGCCCCGCAGGCCGGGCAACAUCUGCGUGGGAGGGUGAAAGACCCAAGCUAGCAGCGCGGAGAAGAAGAGGGGGGAGCCAGGCAUUCAUCCCGGUCAAUUUUGGUUUCAGAUCGUGGCGACUGGUGGACAGGGGUCUUGACAGAGGCUCGCCCUGGGGCUGGGGCAGCGGAGGCGUAGCUGGCAGCCGUGGGCAGGUGAAGACAGCGCUCUGCCGGCCAGGUGAGUCCCCUUCUCCUCGCUGGUCCUUGCUCUCCUGGUCUCCU